UCGGAAUGUACCGCCUGUUCACAUUGAGGAAGCACAGAUAAGACACCAACUGACUUUAAAGCAUAAGAAAAGAAAAUAGAGUUUUGUUGAAGGCUGUCGGAUUUCUGCUGCAAAAUUGACAAAUGGUUGGCGUUUUCUUGACAAUAAUGACAGAGUACAUCGUCAAUAUGGUAUUUUAAAAUACAUGUAGGUGCAGUUUGGCUUAACCAGGACUGAACCAUUUAACAGGGGGACCAAAUACAAUUUACACUUUUCCGUCACAGCCUUAAGAGAAACAAGGAAAGAAGCUGUUUUGCUGUGGAAGACGCUACAAAGAUCGGGGACAUGGCAUGUGAUGAGGAACCCGAGAUCAGCGUCCAAAAGAUUGAUCAGAACUCUGCAGGAGUGCCAGACCAGCAUAGUGGAGGAUGGAGACACCAUGGUCAUAGAUGGCCUCAGGUUUGAGAGUGCGACAAGCAGGGAGGACCUGAGAAAGCUGAGCUCACAGGCUGGCGCAGGACGAUAACAGGGUGGCACAUGACUGAUGCUAGUGAGUUCCUUGAGGUCAUCAAGGUCCCGUGACCGACAGUGGUAAGACAAGAAGCUAGCAAAUAACACAAUGAUAGGAAUAAAGCUACAAACUGUCACGUGUAUGCCCUUGCAACAGAAAACAGAGCAGCGUGGCAUGUUCUAGAGAUUAUAUUGACCUUUUUUUGGGAUAAGUGUUCAUUUGUUUCCAAAUAUUUCUAUAAGGUUCAAGUUACUGUUUCAUUGUUGAUUGUUUUGAAAUGUUUUAUCACUGAGAACAUAGUUUGAUAGUUCUGAAAACCAUAUUUGGCAGGACAUUUAUGUUGCCCAUUUCAGAAUAUGAGCAUUGGCUUUGAGUGUUGUAUUUCUCAUUCUUCUUUAUUCAGGUGGAAAUAUAGUAAAUUAAAGUUAAUAUAUAUCUUGUUUAGGCUAAUGGUGGUGUCUUUGCAUAAUAUGCUUAAUUUCUGUUAGUCUUGUCCAACCCAAAAUAACAUAUUUUGCAGUGGCAGCAGUGCACUAUGAAUAGUAUUUGUCUGUUUUAUUCCACUGACUUGCCUUUAACUAUGGUGUUGGUCAUGCACAGUUUGAAUGUCCUUCUAUAUAAAACAGCAUACUGUGCAGGGCAGUUGAGGACAUGGCUUUCUCUUUGAUUACAUGAAGCUUUUAGAAUAUUUUGUGUCCUCUCUGUUUAUACCCUAGUGUAGAUCAUCUUGCUCCCUAAAAGCAUCCUCAGAGCUCUGAUUACAGCAAACUUUCACAGGCUGAUAUGCUUUCUAGUGCAGUUGGCAUGAAGAAGAAAAAUAUGAUGAGUAAGUAUGGCAGUACUAUCCUUGGGUACUUAAAAGUUUCUGAAUGCAGUUGAAUAACCAGAAGUCAAGACUUUUAGUGUUCAUAAAUAUAGUUUCACUGCAUUGGAGAGUAAUUUUGACAGUACAAUCUUAGUCUUAAUAUAGGUUUGCAUGAUGGUAUCAUGUGCUUUUAUUUUGCAUGAAGUAUUUUAUGUUUUCACUUGCCAGGACACGAUAAUAAUAAGUUAAUUUCACCACAGGAGAGACCUGAUAGUCUCUGCAUCCUGGUGGAAAAAAAAAAUUUGUAUAUAUCGGCAUGGGCAAUUGACCAGAAUGAGCUGGAAAAUAUCAGCAUAACAGAUAGAGCCAAAAAUGCAAUAAUAUGCAUCCUUGAAUCUUCAAUAGGUAGCAGUUUCUUCUUGGCGUUUUUACUAUGUCUUUACUUCACGGCUGAUUUUAAUGGUGAAACUGGUCUUAAGGACAUUUCACAUAAUUUAAAAUAAAUUUAUAAUGUUCUGCUGCCACUUUUCAUUGGAUAUACUGUGACUAUAUUAGCGGUAAAAGCUAAAAGCCAGUAAAAGUAAUUGUGAAAAACUAGUGCUGUUUAAAGAAACAAAUGAAGUUACAGCAAACAGUCCAUAUAUAUGCUUUGACAUUAUUGCAUCAAGAAAAGCAAACAGCAGUGUCAGUCGGAACACUGUGCUUCAGCCAUUUAUUAUCUAUAAAAUCCCCUAAAAUGUGUCGGGAUAUUUCUGUGUUGUAGCAGCCUGUUUGCAUGAGUAGCACCAUUUGUUUAAGUGAAAUGAAACAUUGAAAUCCUCCAUUUUGUAAAUAUAUUGUAAAAUAACAGUUAAUUAAAGAUUAAAAGUUAAAGAGAUACAGAAAUGAAUCAGACCUGCCUUGCAAAGUGGAAAGUACCAUUGACUGUUUAGUUCUGAAAUGAACAAACGAGACCAGCCAGGAGAUUAACAAGUGUCAGGGCAUCAGUGUAACCAAUUAACAAACUCCCAAUUAGAAUGUCAGAUGAACAAUUAAACCCAGAAGUUUACCAAGCAUUAACAUACUAAACAGACUCACAUAAUAUAUGCAAAUAAGGUCAUUAUUAUGCAUGUGCUAGUUCAGUGCCCAAAUUAAGUGCUUGUUUGGAGCACUCGGGAUAUGUUUGCAAGCGUGAGCUCAGUGACAACAUAUUACAGAAAUAAUGGUCACUUGAAAAAUCUAAUUAGUUUUACAUUUGGCUGUAAGCUAUAGAAGUCUGCAAGGCAAAGACAACUUGAAUCAAAAUUAACAACCAUUCAAAGCUAUGGAAAGAAAUUCCCUUAUAUUUAUGGGAAUAGAGAAAAGAAUUUAAUAAUUACUUGUUUGGACGUAUAAUAUGAUGACACAGUCACAGUGGGAAUGCAAACACAUGCAUCCUGUAAUCAGACAGAGUGGCAGAAAAAGGUAGAAAAGCAUCCAGCAGAUGCUGAAUUGGUGAUUACUGAAGUUGCAGCUUGACUCUUGAUUGUCAUGUUUUUGUGUUGCAUGAAUUAUUUAUGUCUUAGCCCAUGUAAUUAGAUGCUGGAAGGGAAAAGACUGGACCAGGAAAACUCGAGAAUCAAUCAGCUGCUUCCUUAAUCAUUUUUGACAACUUAAGGAGCGUAAACCUCUUCAAACUGAUAUGGCUUCAGUGUCUACCUCUUUACAAAAUCUUGUAACAGAUUGAAGCUGCUGUAUUGCGUAUGGUCUUUUUGUUUAUGAUUGCAGUUGUGGUUUG
Amphiprion ocellaris (clown anemonefish) is the source of this 3051-nucleotide long non-coding RNA. RefSeq lists it as uncharacterized. The transcript has 3 exons. NCBI's taxonomy places the organism in Eukaryota, Metazoa, Chordata, Actinopteri, Pomacentridae. The record is from RefSeq and is a predicted model, not a curated record.